This 110-nucleotide small nuclear RNA is filed under the name Microtus ochrogaster (prairie vole). Lineage: Eukaryota; Metazoa; Chordata; Mammalia; Rodentia; Cricetidae. The record is from RNAcentral.
GUACAUGUUUCAGCAGUGUAUAAACUAAAACAACUGCAAUGAUACCAAGAUGACUAGCAGAGCCCCUGCACAAUAAUGACACCCAAAUUUGUGAAUGUUCUAUAUUUUUU